GACGAACGCUGGCGGCGUGCUUAACACAUGCAAGUCGAACGGAAAGGCCCGGCUUUUGUUGGGUGCUCGAGUGGCGAACGGGUGAGUAACACGUGAGUAACCUGCCCUUGACUUUGGGAUAACUUCAGGAAACUGGGGCGAAUACCGGAUAUGAGCUCCUGCUGCAUGGUGGUGGUUGGAAAGUUUCGGCGGUUGGGGAUGGACUCGCGGCUUAUCAGCUUGUUGGUGUGGUAGUGGCUUACCAAGGCUUUGACGGGUAGCCGGCCUGGGAGGGUGACCGGCCACAUUGGGACUGAGAGACGGCCCAGACUCCUACGGGAGGCAGCAGUGGGGAAUAUUGCACAAUGGGCGGAAGCGUGAUGCAGCAACGCCGCGUGCGGGAUGACGGCCUUCGGGUUGUAAACCGCUUUCGAAUGUGACGAAGCGUGAGUGACGGUAAUGGGUAAAGAAGCACCGGCUAACUACGUG
Molecule: ribosomal RNA, 468 nt
Filed under: uncultured bacterium
Lineage: Bacteria
Description: partial 16S ribosomal RNA
Rfam family: Bacterial small subunit ribosomal RNA
Source: RNAcentral